CCUACGGGAGGCAGCAGUAGGGAAUAUUGCUCAAUGGGGGAAACCCUGAAGCAGCAACGCCGCGUGGAGGAUGAAGGUUUUCGGAUUGUAAACUCCUUUUGUUAGAGAAGAUAAUGACGGUAUGUAACGAAUAAGCACGGGCUAACUCCGUGCCAGCAGCCGCGGUAAUACGGAGGGUGCAAGCGUUACUCGGAAGCACUGGGAGUAAAGAGCGCGUAGGCGGGAUAGCAAGUCAGAUGUGAAAUCCUAUGGCUUAACCAUAGAACUGCAUUUGAAACUGUUAUUCUUGAGUAUGGGAGAGGUAGGUGGAAUUCUUGGUGUAGGGGUAAAAUCCGUAGAGAUCAAGAGGAAUACUCAUUGCGAAGGCGACCUGCUAGAACAUAACUGACGCUGAUGCGCGAAAGCGUGGGGAGCAAACAGGAUUAGAUACCCGUGUAGUC
This 440-nucleotide ribosomal RNA is filed under the name uncultured bacterium. RNAcentral describes it as "partial 16S ribosomal RNA". It matches the Rfam family "Bacterial small subunit ribosomal RNA", at positions 338 to 795 of the family's 1533-position model. The record is from RNAcentral.